UGUUGUCGUAUUAACGCUCUGAACCAAGACUGCCUGCUACGUUUGUGAGCUCUCCCAUUCGAACUCGUCAUCCGGCCAAAUGGGCUUAUUCAGUAGAUUCCUUAGAUCAGUCGUUUGGGUCUUUUUUUUAAAGUCGUGGGGUGUUCAGACAUAGAGGACACCCUCCUUAAAAUACGCCACUCAAUAUACUACAAUCGACCAUCAAGCGUUCAGUUAGCCUUGGUUAAUUUUUGUAUCAUAAUCUUUUAAAAAUUAAAGAAGAACAUCAUGCUAGUUUAUUAAAUGUUAUCGACGAAUUUGACAAAACCAAUGAAUCACUUUUACCUAGGAAUAUUACAUUUCAUAAUCUUAAUAACUUGGACACUAAUCGAUUAGACUUGGAACAGAAAUCUUUACAUUCAGUUAAAAAUAAUUCUCAAAAUAACUUUAUUCUUACUGACCAGCACAAGAAUAUAAUGGAAAAAAAAAAAUCUUUAAAAGAUAUAUACAUGUAUAUU
RNAcentral lists this long non-coding RNA (497 nucleotides) under Sipha flava (yellow sugarcane aphid). Its description in RNAcentral is "uncharacterized LOC112686166, transcript variant X1". Lineage: Eukaryota; Metazoa; Arthropoda; Insecta; Hemiptera; Aphididae. The record is from RNAcentral.